AUGGCCCAAGAACACGCUCAUUCUUCAGCCGUAGAGAGACUUUUGAAUUGUGAGGUACCAUUACGAGCUCAAUAUAUAAGAGUGUUAUUCUGUGAAAUAACUCGAAUUUCAAAUCAUUCACUUGCUUCAACUACUCAUGCUAUGGAUGUGGGAGCAUCAACUCCGUUCCUUUGGGCUUUUGAGGAGCAGGAGAAAUUGUUGGAAUUCUAUGAAAGAGUCCCGGGAGCCAGGAUGCAUGCCAGUUUCAUACGACCUGGUGGAGUGGCACAAGAUCUGCCUCUUGACUUAUGUCGAGAUAUUGAUUCCUCCACACAACAAUUUGCUUCUCGUAUCGAUGAAUUAGAAGAGAUGUCAACCGGCAACCGUAUCUGGAAACAACGAUUAGUGGAUAUUGGUACUGUCACUGCACAGCAAGCAAAGGAUUGGGGAUUCAGUGGUGUAAUGUUAAGAGGUCGUGCGACAUGA
RNAcentral lists this ribosomal RNA (465 nucleotides) under Triticum aestivum (bread wheat). RNAcentral describes it as "partial small subunit ribosomal RNA". The record is from RNAcentral. Lineage: Eukaryota; Viridiplantae; Streptophyta; Magnoliopsida; Poales; Poaceae.